This 1470-nucleotide ribosomal RNA is filed under the name metagenome. Its description in RNAcentral is "bacterial SSU rRNA". It matches the Rfam family "Bacterial small subunit ribosomal RNA". The record is from RNAcentral.
AGAGUUUGAUCCUGGCUCAGGAUGAACGCUAGCGGCAGGCUUAACACAUGCAAGUCGAGGGGUAUAGUUCUCGGAACUAGAGACCGGCGCACGGGUGCGUAACGCGUAUGCAAUCUACCUUUUACAGAGGGAUAGCCCAGAGAAAUUUGGAUUAAUACCUCAUAGUAUUAUGAAUCGGCAUCGGUUUAUAAUUAAAGUCACAACGGUAAAAGAUGAUCAUGCGUCCCAUUAGCUUGUUGGUAAGGUAACGGCUUACCAAGGCAACGAUGGGUAGGGGUCCUGAGAGGGAGAUCCCCCACACUGGUACUGAGACACGGACCAGACUCCUACGGGAGGCAGCAGUGAGGAAUAUUGGUCAAUGGGCGCAAGCCUGAACCAGCCAUGCCGCGUGCAGGAUGAAGCAUCUAUGGUGUGUAACUGCUUUUGUACGAGAAGAAACACUCCUACGUGUAGGAGCUUGACGGUAUCGUAAGAAUAAGGACCGGCUAACUCCGUGCCAGCAGCCGCGGUAAUACGGAGGGUCCAAGCGUUAUCCGGAAUCAUUGGGUUUAAAGGGUCCGUAGGCGGUUUUGUAAGUCAGUGGUGAAAGCCCAUCGCUCAACGGUGGAACGGCCAUUGAUACUGCAAGACUUGAAUUAUUAGGAAGUAACUAGAAUAUGUAGUGUAGCGGUGAAAUGCUUAGAGAUUACAUGGAAUACCAAUUGCGAAGGCAGGUUACUACUAAUGGAUUGACGCUGAUGGACGAAAGCGUGGGUAGCGAACAGGAUUAGAUACCCUGGUAGUCCACGCCGUAAACGAUGGAUACUAGCUGUUCGGAGCAAUCUGAGUGGCUAAGCGAAAGUGAUAAGUAUCCCACCUGGGGAGUACGUUCGCAAGAAUGAAACUCAAAGGAAUUGACGGGGGCCCGCACAAGCGGUGGAGCAUGUGGUUUAAUUCGAUCAUACGCGAGGAACCUUACCAAGGCUUAAAUGUAGAUUGACCGGUUUGGAAACAGACUUUUCGCAAGACAAUUUACAAGGUGCUGCAUGGUUGUCGUCAGCUCGUGCCGUGAGGUGUCAGGUUAAGUCCUAUAACGAGCGCAACCCCUGUUGUUAGUUGCCAGCGAGUCAUGUCGGGAACUCUAACAAGACUGCCAGUGUAAACUGUGAGGAAGGUGGGGAUGACGUCAAAUCAUCACGGCCCUUACGCCUUGGGCUACACACGUGCUACAAUGGCCGGUACAGAGAGCAGCCACUGGGCGACCAGGAGCGAAUCUAUAAAACCGGUCACAGUUCGGAUCGGAGUCUGCAACUCGACUCCGUGAAGCUGGAAUCGCUAGUAAUCGGAUAUCAGCCAUGAUCCGGUGAAUACGUUCCCGGGCCUUGUACACACCGCCCGUCAAGCCAUGGAAGCUGGGGGUGCCUGAAGUCGGUGACCGCAAGGAGCUGCCUAGGGUAAAACUGGUAACUAGGGCUAAGUCGUAACAAGGUA